This is a small nucleolar RNA of Lolium rigidum, 139 nucleotides long. RefSeq annotates it as small nucleolar RNA Z247. The record is from RefSeq and is a predicted model, not a curated record. NCBI's taxonomy places the organism in Eukaryota, Viridiplantae, Streptophyta, Magnoliopsida, Poales, Poaceae. The transcript has a single exon.
GUACUAGAUGAAGAUGAGAUGGUGUCUUACAUCCUUGCAGGACUCGACAUGGAGUACAACUCGCUGGUGUCGGCCAUGGCCGCACGUGUGGAGCCGGUGACGCUGGGAGAUCUCUACUCCCAGCUGCUGACGUACGAGA